This 484-nucleotide ribosomal RNA is filed under the name Agrococcus sp. SFA7DKANTET. RNAcentral's name for it is "partial 16S ribosomal RNA". It matches the Rfam family "Bacterial small subunit ribosomal RNA", at positions 116 to 614 of the family's 1533-position model. Lineage: Bacteria; Bacillati; Actinomycetota; Actinomycetes; Micrococcales; Microbacteriaceae. The record is from RNAcentral.
CGUGAGCAAUCUGCCCUUGACUCUGGGAUAAGCGCUGGAAACGGCGUCUAAUACCGGAUACGACCCUCGGAGGCAUCUCCUGURGGURGAAAGAACUUCGGUCAAGGAUGAGCUCGCGGCCUAUCASCUUGUUGGUGAGGUAAUGGCUCACCAWGGCGACGACGGGUAGCCGGCCUGAGAGGGUGACCGSCCACMCUGGGACUGAGACACGGCCCAGACUCCUACGGGAGGCAGCAGUGGRGAAUAUUGCACAAUGGGCGCAAGCCUGAUGCARCAAYGCCGCGUGAGGGACGMCSGCCUUCGGGUUGUAAACCUCUUUUAGCAGGGAAGAAGCGAGAGUGACGGUACCUGCAGAAAAAGCACCGGCUAACUACGUGCCAGCAGCCGCGGUAAUACGUAGGGUGCAAGCGUURUYCGGAAUUAUUGGGCGUAAAGAGCUCGUAGGCGGUCUGUYRMGUCKGMUGUGAAAACCCGAGGCUCAACC